AAAAGGGUAAAAACAGUGGUAGUAGGGCUUCUAGAUCAAAAAACUCUAGAGGAAGCAAUCUAAGAGGUAGAUGUGGAAGAAGAAUGGUUGACAAGAGUAGCGUGUAGUGCUUUAAUGGUCAAAAGCUUGGCCAUUUUUCAAGAGAGUACAAUUCCAACAAGAAAGAACCUCAAGAAGAUGAAGUUAGAGUUUCAAGGCUAGAU
Molecule: long non-coding RNA, 203 nt
Filed under: Lathyrus oleraceus (garden pea)
Lineage: Eukaryota; Viridiplantae; Streptophyta; Magnoliopsida; Fabales; Fabaceae
Description: Pisum sativum (pea) long non-coding RNA (PSAT_LNC004146)
Source: RNAcentral